This 430-nucleotide ribosomal RNA is filed under the name uncultured bacterium. RNAcentral's name for it is "bacterial SSU rRNA". It matches the Rfam family "Bacterial small subunit ribosomal RNA", at positions 355 to 776 of the family's 1533-position model. The record is from RNAcentral.
UAGGGAAUUGUUCGCAAUGGGCGCAAGCCUGACGACGCAACGCCGCGUGGAGGACGAAGAUCUUCGGGUCGUAAACUCCUGUCGAGUGGGAAGAACAGUGUAUAGGUUAAUACCCUGUGCGCCUGACGGUACCACUAAAGGAAGCCCCGGCUAACUCCGUGCCAGCAGCCGCGGUAAUACGGGGGGGGCAAGCGUUGUUCGGAUUUACUGGGCGUAAAGGGCUCGUAGGCGGCCAUUUAAGUCGGUUGUGAAAUCCCUCGGCUCAACCGAGGAACUGCGAUCGAUACUGAGUGGCUUGAAGCCGGGAGAGGGAUGCGGAAUUCCAGGUGUAGCGGUGAAAUGCGUAGAUAUCUGGAGGAACACCCGUGGCGAAGGCGGCAUCCUGGACCGGUCUUGACGCUGAGGAGCGAAAGCUAGGGUAGCAAACGGG